This 630-nucleotide ribosomal RNA is filed under the name Sterigmatomyces halophilus. RNAcentral describes it as "LSU rRNA". It matches the Rfam family "Eukaryotic large subunit ribosomal RNA", at positions 35 to 650 of the family's 3401-position model. The record is from RNAcentral. Lineage: Eukaryota; Fungi; Basidiomycota; Agaricostilbomycetes; Agaricostilbales; Agaricostilbaceae.
UAAGCAUAUCAAUAAGCGGAGGAAAAGAAACUAACAAGGAUUCCCCUAGUAACGGCGAGUGAAGCGGGAAGAGCUCAACAUUGUAAUCUGGCUGCUUCGCAGUCCGAGUUGUAGUCUAUAGAAGCAUGAUCCGCGCCGGCCCUUGGGCAUGUCUGUUGGAACGCAGUGUCAAAGAGGGUGAAAAUCCCGUACAUACCAAGGACGACCGUGUGCAUUGUGGUCUGCUCUCUAAGAGUCGAGUUGUUUGGGAAUGCAGCUCUAAUUGGGUGGUAAAUUCCAUCUAAAGCUAAAUAUCGACGAGAGACCGAUAGCGAACAAGUACAGUAAUGGAAAGAUGAAAAGUAGCCUGCAGAGGCAAUGAAACAAUACGUGAAACCGUUUGUAGGGAAGCGAUGGAACCUUUUCACGCUGCGAGGGUUCAGCUUGGCUUCGGCUUAGUGUAUUCCCUCGUUUUGCGGACCAGCAUCAGUUUGCUUCGCAGUAUAAGGGUGAUUGGAACGUGGCUUCUCCGGAAGUGUUAUAGCCUUUCACUGGAUGCUGUGUCGCAGACUGAGGACUGCAGUGCGCCGUAAGGCAUGGCCUUCGGGCCACGAGCACUUAGGAUGCUGGGCGAAUGGGUUUCAACGACCC